GUGGGGAAUAUUGGACAAUGGGCGAAAGCCUGAUCCAGCCAUGCCGCGUGUGUGAAGAAGGUCUUCGGAUUGUAAAGCACUUUAAGUUGGGAGGAAGGGCAGUAAGUUAAUACCUUGCUGUUUUGACGUUACCGACAGAAUAAGCACCGGCUAACUUCGUGCCAGCAGCCGCGGUAAUACGACGGGUGCAAGCGUUAAUCGGAAUUACUGGGCGUAAAGCGCGCGUAGGUGGUUUUGUAAGUUGGAGGUGAAAUCCCCGGGCUCAACCUGGGAACUGCCUCCAAAGCUGCAUGACUAGAGUACGGUAGAGGGUAGUGGAAUUUCCUGUGUAGCGGUGAAAUGCGUAGAUAUAGGAAGGAUCACCAGUGGCGAAGGCGACUACCUGGACUGAUACUGACACUGAGGUGCGAAAGCGUGGGGAGCAAACAGGAUUAGAUACCCCGGUAGUCC
Molecule: ribosomal RNA, 450 nt
Filed under: uncultured bacterium
Lineage: Bacteria
Description: partial 16S ribosomal RNA
Rfam family: Bacterial small subunit ribosomal RNA
Source: RNAcentral